Molecule: long non-coding RNA, 1692 nt
Filed under: Setaria viridis
Lineage: Eukaryota; Viridiplantae; Streptophyta; Magnoliopsida; Poales; Poaceae
Description: long non-coding RNA (SVIR_LNC000050)
Source: RNAcentral
AAACCUUCAUAGAAGUACUAGAGAUCGCACAUAUGACCAAGGAUGAUCAACCACAGAACACUCUUAUAGCGUUUGAAGUUACCCCUCCGCACCGAGGGCUCCUAUGUGGGGCGGUGGAGGAGAAUGGGCUCCGCACUGAGCGCUCCUAUGUGUCUGGUGGAGACCUCACGGCAGGGUUGCUCCUGCUCACCUCCCACACCUGCUGCCCAUGUUCCAUCCCGGUCCUCAUCCCUCAGCUUCCACCCUCGGUGGCAACGCGCGUGACGAAAGAGAGCAUAGGAGGCGGAGGGAAGACGAUGGAGAUCGUGCGGCUAGUAGAGGCCGUACGAAUCUCCAACCCCUAAAGCUAGAUAGUUUCUGAGAUUCCGGAAGUCAUAUAGGUUUCCCACUCUGCACCUGCUGCAUGGGCACAACUGCGCCAUGGCCAUGGCCCUUGCACGUAAAGUUUAUCCACUUUUCAUUCCUUUGAAUUUGUAGAAAUUUCUUUUGUUCAAAUUCGAUUUCACACUUAAAAUUUUUUUCUUCUCAUGUAUUUAAAUACUGUACAUAGAUGCAUAUGCAGUAUACUGAAAAUAUGCAGGUCCUAGUAGUAGUAGGCAACAAUAUGCAGGCAUUACAACAGCAGAAUUUACUUUCUUAAAAUCUGCACUAACAGAUUAUCAGGAAAUACCAUAGUCAAGGUAGAGAUGUAGGAUUUGCAAUUUUGCAUCAGUUAAACAUGUAAUUUCUAAUAAUUUCCUUGUUAUGGUUGGCUGUCCUAAAACUUAUAUUGAAUCAAAAUAUUAGUUCUACCAUUUUUUUUAUAAUGGCUCAUGCGCCAAUUAGAUGAUCAGACAGACUAACAGCAUGGCGAUGCAGUACAAAAGAGACAUCAUGUUCUGGAUAUACAAACAUACGCGUCUCUCUUCAAAUUGCAAUCAAAACCUGCAAUGUUCAACCCAAAUUCAAUAUCUGAUGCAGGGGCAAAAAUGCAGGGCACACAUGUGCAGGGCGCAAACAAGGUUGGCAAUUGAGCUUCGUGUUAGCUGCUUUGCUUCCCCAGCAUUCAGCUCAGCGUGGAUGGAACGAAACUCUGACGCGGCAUUCCAUCAAACAGAUUCACGUCGAUCUGCAGGUCCGCCAGCUAGAGGAGCUUGGCAUAGCGGAGGUGGCCGUGGCGAUGGAGGGGUAGAGGCGACCUGGGAGUGGGAGUGCCCGGCGCGCUGUCAUGUCGGCGUUCUCGUAGCGGAAGGCGGCGGCGGCGACCUCCCUGAGCGUGCCUAGCGAGGCGGAGGUGCCGGCGGGGAGCGGGGCUGAUGGGGCGGGCGCCCACCUCGGAUGACAUUUGUUUAGUACCAUACCGGUUUUCUAUUGUCGCUGAAGCAGGCUGAAAUAAUCGGGCCGCAGCCCACUUACCUGAGUUGGGAGGAAGGUACCUGAGCCCCGCGUUGGUUUCCCUGAGCGACUCCUUUCGCCCCGUUUGUUUCACCACGGAGAGCUGGGCCUCCUGACAGUGUGAGGCAGCCGUCUGGCUCAUGCCACGGCCCACAUGACUGCUUACCCCCGUCGUUGCCCCGGGGAGGCCCGCUUCAGCGCGAAACCCUGGGGGCUCGUCUCACCUCUCCUCCCAACUCUUUUUUUAAAUUGUUUUUCCUCUGUAUAAGCUGAGCUGUAGUGGCAGAAAUAAACCUCUGGGGCGAUCCGUUAUCAGAG